This 396-nucleotide ribosomal RNA is filed under the name uncultured bacterium. RNAcentral's name for it is "bacterial SSU rRNA". It matches the Rfam family "Bacterial small subunit ribosomal RNA", at positions 505 to 898 of the family's 1533-position model. The record is from RNAcentral.
GUGUCAGCCGCCGCGGUAAGACGUAGGGAGCGAGCGUUGUCCGGAUUCAUUGGGCGUAAAGCGCGCGUAGGCGGCUUCGUUAGUCGGGUGUGAAAAUCCGGGGCUCAACCCCGGACCUGCAUCCGAUACUGCGAGGCUAGAGGUAGGUAGGGGAGAUCGGAAUUCCUGGUGUAGCGGUGAAAUGCGCAGAUAUCAGGAGGAACACCGGUGGCGAAGGCGGAUCUCUGGGCCUUACCUGACGCUGAGGUGCGAAAGCUAGGGGAGCGAACAGGAUUAGAUACCCUGGUAGUCCUAGCCGUAAACGUUGGACGCUAGGUGUGGGCGGAUAUCAACCCCGUCUGUGCCGUCGCUAACGCAUUAAGCGUCCCGCCUGGGGAGUACGGCCGCAAGGCUAAA